This 253-nucleotide ribosomal RNA is filed under the name uncultured bacterium. RNAcentral describes it as "partial 16S ribosomal RNA". It matches the Rfam family "Bacterial small subunit ribosomal RNA", at positions 524 to 776 of the family's 1533-position model. The record is from RNAcentral.
UACGGAGGGUGCAAGCGUUGUCCGGAAUUACUGGGCGUAAAGGGCGCGUAGGCUGUGCUGUAAGUCAGGCGUGAAAGCCCCGGGCUCAACCUGGGAAUUGCGCUUGAUACUGCGGCGCUGGAAGGUGGGAGAGGAUGGCGGAAUUCCCAGUGUAGAGGUGAAAUUCGUAGAUAUUGGGAAGAACACCGGUGGCGAAGGCGGCCAUCUGGCCCAUUUUUGACGCUGAGGCGCGAAAGCGUGGGGAGCAAACAGG